This 84-nucleotide transfer RNA is filed under the name Coriobacteriales bacterium. RNAcentral describes it as "tRNA-Leu". It matches the Rfam family "tRNA". Rfam says of the family: Transfer RNA (tRNA) molecules are approximately 80 nucleotides in length. The record is from RNAcentral. Lineage: Bacteria; Bacillati; Actinomycetota; Coriobacteriia; Coriobacteriales.
GCCCGAGUGGCGGAAUGGCAGACGCGGCGGUCUCAAAAACCGUUGCCGCAAGGCGUGCGAGUUCAACUCUCGCCUCGGGCACCA